GGUUGGGUCGCAUAGUGGCAAUUGCUGGAGACUGUAAAUCUCCUCCCUUCGGGGUUCGUUGGUUCGAGUCCAACCCCAACCACCA
RNAcentral lists this transfer RNA (85 nucleotides) under Caudoviricetes sp. RNAcentral describes it as "tRNA-Tyr". It matches the Rfam family "tRNA". Rfam says of the family: Transfer RNA (tRNA) molecules are approximately 80 nucleotides in length. Their secondary structure includes four short double-helical elements and three loops (D, anti-codon, and T loops). Further hydrogen bonds mediate the characteristic L-shaped molecular structure. tRNAs have two regions of fundamental functional importance: the anti-codon, which is responsible for specific mRNA codon recognition, and the 3' end, to which the tRNAs corresponding amino acid is attached (by aminoacyl-tRNA synthetases). tRNAs cope with the degeneracy of the genetic code in two manners: having more than one tRNA (with a specific anti-codon) for a particular amino acid; and 'wobble' base-pairing, i.e. permitting non-standard base-pairing at the 3rd anti-codon position. Lineage: Duplodnaviria; Heunggongvirae; Uroviricota; Caudoviricetes. The record is from RNAcentral.